AACGAACGCUGGCGGCAGGCCUAACACAUGCAAGUCGAGCGAGAAAGCACCUUCGGGUGUGAGUAGAGCGGCGCACGGGUGAGUAACGCGUGGGAACGUGCCCUGUAGUACGGAAUAGCCUCGGGAAACUGGGUUUAAUACCGUAUACGCCCUUCGGGGGAAAGAAUUUCGGUGAAGGAUCGGCCCGCGUUGGAUUAGGUAGUUGGUGCGGUAACGGCGCACCAAGCCGACGAUCCAUAGCUGGUUUGAGAGGAUGAUCAGCAACACUGGGACUGAGACACGGCCCAGACUCCUACGGGAGGCAGCAGUGGGGAAUCUUAGACAAUGGGGGAAACCCUGAUCUAGCCAUGCCGCGUGAGUGACGAAGGCCCUAGGGUCUAAAAGCUCUUUCACCAGGGAAGAUAAUGACGGUACCUGGAGAAGAAA
RNAcentral lists this ribosomal RNA (426 nucleotides) under uncultured bacterium. RNAcentral's name for it is "bacterial SSU rRNA". It matches the Rfam family "Bacterial small subunit ribosomal RNA", at positions 29 to 490 of the family's 1533-position model. The record is from RNAcentral.